AUUUCAUUGUAGUCAAUUCCUCCCUUGGUUAAAACUCUUGGCAAUUAAAGUGGCCUUGAAUCAUAUAUUUCCAUCCUUUAUUUUGUAAAUCCAUUUAUAGUUGAUGAACUUUUGUCCUUUAGUUUUAUCAACUAGAAUCCAGGUCUUCGACUAUUUUACGACUUUGUCUCUUCUUUCGGGUUAUAUUUUCGACUAUUUGCACUUUGAUCCCUGAACACUGAUUUUCUUCCAUUUUAGCUUUUUUCUUUUGUUUUUCUUAAAUUCCACCAUAUUCAUCAAUGUUGUUCAACAAAACAUGCUUUGUAUAGAAUUAAGCUAUAUUCCAAAGUAUUUACCAAUAAUUAUUUAUUUUUUGUGUCAUAAAUAAAAGCGUAAAACACACUUAUCACCCACCCACAACCACUAACAUAACCACCAACCGCACCACCGCCACAACAACCAGAUUUACCGCCACCAUUCAAGAUCCACCAAUGCCACAGCUAAUAAAACCACCCUAACAUCACCAAAACCAUGGAAAGCACCAUCGUGCCAAUAACCAACAAAAACCAAAACAACAAAUAACAAAUUGCAUAUCGUGGCAGUUGCUCAUCUACAAAUCGAUGGCAGUACAACACAACUGAGUGGUGGGUGUUGGUAUGAGGUGGUGUGGCACAAUGCGAUGGUGCGAUGUUGGUCAGGGGGGGUUGGUGUGUGGUAUAGCACAACGUGACGAAAAAUCAGGCAACGAGGAGAGUGGACAGGUUGCCUUCCUACACUUAUCUUACACCAACAAGGAGUCGCUUUGGUUAUGCAGUUCGAUUAGCAAGCAUGUCGCCUUCCUACAUCUACAGGCUCGACGGUGCAAAGGAUGAAAACAGCAGUCACGAAAAGGGGUGGCGGUGUCGUGAAUUGUUGGUAGAGAGAAGAUGGAGAUAUAAAGAAAAAUGUGGAAUUGAUUGAAUUAAGGUUAUGGGGUGGGUGGUUAGAUUAGUUUAAUUUUGUAUUAUAAUUAUUAAUAUUUAAAAUUUUGAUUAUAUCUGAUUUUUGAAAGAAAAAUUUGUAACUCUUAAUUAUGAAUUGAAAUCUUGAAGUGUG
RNAcentral lists this long non-coding RNA (1074 nucleotides) under Olea europaea subsp. europaea. Lineage: Eukaryota; Viridiplantae; Streptophyta; Magnoliopsida; Lamiales; Oleaceae. The record is from RNAcentral.